UCACGUAAAAGCAAAAACAAGAGAAGUCAAACCCUCCUCCCCUCCUAUUCUUUCACGUAAACCAGAAAACCCUCAAACCUUGGUACUCUCUGCCCCAGCCGCAGCCACCGUACACUCGCCGGACCGCCGCCGCGUUGUCGCACCGCCGAUCCCUCCGUCCGAACCGCCGCUGCCACCAGUGCUCGCCACCACGCAAGCCCAGCCGCGUUGCCAGUUCGCCGUCCUGUCUCACCGUCGCGCCUUGCCCCGCCAACUUCUUCUCCCUUUCUUCUUUCGCGGGUUACCACCGUAGGCGCACGCAACCACCACCCAGCAAGCCACCUGCGCCACCAGCCUUGUCGACCGAUCGUCGACCACCCACACCUGCUGCCGCACCGCCAUUGCCGCCGGCCAGCAGCCUUUCUCUCCUCCUUAAUUUUGGUGGAGAAUUCUCGUUAGGCGACUUUUGAAAGUGUUAAAGUGGCCUAUUAGUUUGUUUACACAAGUCUCUAAGGAUCAAUAAGCGUUGCCCAUCUACAGGUUUGAAGAUGAUGCAUCAUUGGGAUCGGGAUUAGAGAGCUUGUAGUUCUAUUUGUUUAAUUAAGUGAUUUAAUUUGUUAACUUGGAUUUGAAAUUUGUCGUACUAUUCGUAUUUCCUUAAUUCAGUUAAUUGGUUUGGACCUAAUAUGUAAUAGAUUAUUUAUGAACCUAAAAGUUAGUUUUAUGUUUUCCGCUGCAAAAUUCUGAAUAAGCCGUAACGUUUUCA
Molecule: long non-coding RNA, 745 nt
Organism: Spinacia oleracea (spinach)
Lineage: Eukaryota; Viridiplantae; Streptophyta; Magnoliopsida; Caryophyllales; Amaranthaceae
Exons: 4
Source: RefSeq, a predicted model, not a curated record